Molecule: ribosomal RNA, 951 nt
Filed under: uncultured bacterium
Lineage: Bacteria
Description: bacterial SSU rRNA
Rfam family: Bacterial small subunit ribosomal RNA
Source: RNAcentral
AGCGGACGUUAGCGGCACGCUUAACACAUGCAAGUCGCACGAGAGUGGAGCAAUCCAUGAAAGUGGCGCACGGGUGCGUAACACGUAGAUAAUCUGCCCUAAAGAGGGGGAUAACGUUCCGAAAGGAGCGCUAAUACCGCAUACAGCAGUUGGUGGUUCGCCAUCGAUUGGCAAAGGCUGGGAUCGCAAGACCAGUCGCUUUAGGAGGAGUCUGCGGCCCAUCAGCUAGUUGGUAAGGUAACGGCUUACCAAGGCAAAGACGGGUAGCUGGUCUGAGAGGAUGAUCAGCCACACUGGUACUGGAACACGGACCAGACUCCUACGGGAGGCAGCAGUGGGGAAUCUUGGUCAAUGGGCGAAAGCCUGAACCAGCGAUGCCGCGUGAGUGAUGAAGGCCUUCGGGUUGUAAAGCUCUGUGGGGCGAGACGAAAGCCUACGUUCUAACAGGACGUAGUUUGACGGUAUCGCCUUAGCAAGCACCGGCUAACUCUGUGCCAGCAGCCGCGGUAAGACAGAGGGUGCAAACGUUGCUCGGAAUCACUGGGCGUAAAGGGCGCGUAGGCGGACAAGUAAGUCGGGCGUGAAAUCCCUAGGCUCAACCUAGGAACUGCACUCGAAACUGCAUGUCUUGAGUACCGGAGAGGAAAGCGGAAUACCUGGUGUAGAGGUGAAAUUCGUAGAUAUCAGGUGGAACACCAGUGGCGAAGGCGGCUUUCUGGACGGUAACUGACGCUGAGCGCGAAAGCGUGGGGAGCAAACAGGAUUAGAUACCCUGGUAGUCCACGCUGUAAACGAUGAGCGCUAGGUGUCGUGGGUAUUGACCCCCGCGGUGCCGAAGCUAACGCAUUAAGCGCUCCGCCUGGGAAGUACGGUCGCAAGACUAAAACUCAAGGAAUUGACGGGGGCCCGCACAAGCGGUGGAGCAUGUGGUUUAAUUCGACGCAACGCGCA